GUUAGUCCCUGAGGUUCGCAGGAUGAAAAAAGGGCUUCCAAUCGUGCCCCGAGAUGCUCUCCGAGUUUGAGUGUCCAGUUUGCUCUGAGCUUUCCCUGCAGAACUUAAGUGUGGCCGCAAUUGGGAAAGACUGAAGGUAGAAAACUCUGGAACGGAGACUGGCGACUGGAGCAGAAUCCAGGGGCUUUAAAGUUUAACCUGAGUUCGAUCGAAAGCGACUACAGAAAAGAAGGUCCGGCGUCUGCAGUCCAUUCGACUCCGACCAGGGCUUCAAAUGCCUUUCUUUUCGUUUUUACCUCUGCGGCAGCGGUGAGAGGGACUCGAGCUGGCAAGGCAGGGGCAGAGAUAUUCUGAUCUCAAACGAAAUCGUUUCUCUCCGGACUAUUUAGACCUAAGGAGUGGCCCACCAGCCUGAGUCCUGCCUCCGUAAGCCUCCCUCCUCGCCCUCUGAGAAGGGCUGGCUCCUGGGCGCGGCCUGUCCCCAGGGCUGAUUUAUUUGGGCCGCGCCACACCACUAGUCAAGAUUCGAAUCCAGCCAGAACCCAGCAGCCAAUUGGGCAGGGGGCGGGGGCUUCGCUGCCAAACGAGAAAGUGUGUUGGGGACCCGGUCGUGCGCUGCUUCCGGAGGAGCAGCGAGACCCGGGCGGGGACCGGCGUCACGACUCGCACGCCUUCACCUCCGCAAACUUGAGCCCAUUACGUUGUCAUUCCACAAAGCGCCCGGCUGCUUCAGCGACAUUUCGGCAAGAGAAUGCGACUUCUGACUUAAAACAGUUUUAAACUGAGAGAUUUUUUUAAAGCCAGGUUGAUUGGGCCUUCUCGCUUAUCCCAUAUUUCUCCCUGUCCCUGGGAGGCUUUUGCCCAAGGGCAUGAGGUCACCUCGGCGCCCCCUACCCCAGCCACAGUCAGGGCGCAAUAGCCGUCUCCCCCCCACCUCCCAGCGGCUGUCAGUCCAACACAGGCCGUCGCCCAGAGUCCUGACAACGGUUUGGGGGAGAGGGUGGUCGUUUUGGUUUUUAAUUCUCGAAAACCCCAAAAUACCCUUUAGAAAUGUCAGGUGGUGGCGGCGGACGCGCGAAAACGGUCGUCCCCACCCUGCUCACUCUUCUCUCCUCCCUCCGCCGGUCAGUCGGGGUGGGAGACCCGCAGCGCCGACGCCGGGCCGGACGCGCGGAAUCGGUGCGGCGGCCCCUCGGCCCGCAGCCCCGCCAGCCCCGCGCGCCGCCGGCGGCCGCCAGCACGGCGCGGAGGUGGGCGAGCGGCGGCGGCGCGCGAAAGGUCACCGCGGUGGCAUUCCUCUCCGCGCGCUGUUUACGUGACUUAAUGUACUUCGUGCGCCGCGGGUAGGUUAGGGCCGCGAUAAGGGGACGGCCGGGGGAGGGUCACCGUAAAAGCCCCUCGCUGGGCGCCUUCCAGCCCUCCCUCAUCCAUUAACCUUUUUACUUUCUUCUUCCCUCUCUCUUUUAAAGCUUGUUAUCUAGGCCACCCAAUGACCGACGAAAGAUUUUCCCUCCCUGCCUCUCCCAAGGCCGCUUUAAACCAAAUAAAUUUAGCUAUUAAGGGCCAA
Manis pentadactyla (Chinese pangolin) is the source of this 1567-nucleotide long non-coding RNA. RefSeq lists it as uncharacterized. The transcript is spliced from 4 exons. Lineage: Eukaryota; Metazoa; Chordata; Mammalia; Pholidota; Manidae. The record is from RefSeq and is a predicted model, not a curated record.